Long non-coding RNA from Acanthopagrus latus (yellowfin seabream), 1549 nucleotides. RefSeq lists it as uncharacterized. The record is from RefSeq and is a predicted model, not a curated record. The transcript has 3 exons. Lineage: Eukaryota; Metazoa; Chordata; Actinopteri; Spariformes; Sparidae.
AGUUUAAAAUGUAUGAAUUUAAUGGUCUUCUGCAUGUUUAAAAGAAGUCAAAGUAACUCUUAAUUGUGUGAGAGUUCAUGACCUUUAAGAGAUUUUACACUUCCAGGUUGACCGGAGCGUGAGGAAGAAGAGGAAGAAAAAGAAGCCGAGAGUCAAUGGCAUCGAGCAGCUAACAGUCAACUGUGUGUGUUGUCAGUGUGGUGUUUUAUUAGGGACUGUGAACUGUUGUGGGAUGACGUGCUGUGAGUGUAUGAGUUGGUCUCUCCAUCGCAGCCGAGGUGUUUGUGUUAUAUUGGACACAAAGCAAGCUCGGCUAAGCUAGCUAUCAGGUGCUAAGCUAGCUAUCAGGUGCUAAGCUAGCUAUCAGGUGCUAAGCUAGCUAUCAGGUGCUAGGCUAGCGGCACGGCCACUGUUGAGAGGAGGCCUAUGCUGACGGGAGGAGCAUUGCCGGGUCACCUCGGAGAGUGUCACCGACGGAGGGCGCUUCGUUGCCGCAGAGGGACACAGAGGUUUAUCCCUGCGAGCAUUUUGUUUUCACAGGCUAACCUCUCCUCAUAACAUGGCUGUGACCUUCUAUUUGCUCGGAGCUAUGUGUGCAAGUCCAGAUUUACAUGAUGCCGAUACGCCAUUGUGUCUGCCUGUAAGACAUAUUACAAGACGGUAUACGCAGGAGCUUCAGGUACAAACAACCAGAUCUUGCAUCGCAGGCGGAAGCUGUGAAGAGUUCAGCUCGGAGUCGGCUGAGAACAAAGAGGCUGCUGGAAGAGAGACAGAGUGUGCUAGCUGAGGAUGAGGUGGACCUUUGGAAGUGCGCCACCGGAGACCUGAUGUCUGAUGAGGAAGACAGUGGGGCAUCUGGAUGGAUUGUGCGACCUCCGCCCUUUCACAGCCGGGAGCUCACUGAGCUCUAUGUCACGCUGCAGUCGAGAUUAGAGGCGAUUCAGAAGUGCAGGGCAACGCACCACAGACAUCUGCAAAAUGGACCAAAUUCAGACGGAAGGCCGCCAGUUACCUACAGCUCCGAGGCGGCAAACAGACACUUGACAGUUCUGCUUUGUAAAUACUUGUGUGUUUGUGCUAAUAAAUUUCUUUUUUUGAAUAAACAACAUGUGGGGGCCCAAUUGUGACAGAUCUGCCAAAAAUCACAAGUGAUUUUUCUUGUUUAAAAGUUGUGGUGUCAUCCAAUGCUGAGUGAGGAAAUUCAAGCCAGCCCACGCAUGUCAUGGUUCAUUUCCGUCAAUAUGUGGCACAGAUGAAUGCAACGUUCACAGGCUGUAAAUUGUCAUUAACUACCAAAAAUCUGGAAUAUUUCCAGGUGUGUAUGGGGACGAAAAUCCCACUUUUCAUGCAGUAGAAGUGUCCAGGUCCAAUGCGGAAGUGAUGGAGGUGCCCGGGAGGUGGCCACAGGAGUCUCUGCCCUUCCCUUCCCCCUUAGACUUGAAUACCUCCACUCCCCAUUUUUCUUGCUGAACUGAAUACUGGCCUUGAGUAUUGGACAACAGAACCUUCAUUUUAUGAACAGUUUUAAGUUUGUUUUUUUUAAUUGGUG